RNAcentral lists this transfer RNA (68 nucleotides) under Triplophysa bleekeri. Its description in RNAcentral is "tRNA-Tyr". It matches the Rfam family "tRNA". Rfam says of the family: Transfer RNA (tRNA) molecules are approximately 80 nucleotides in length. Their secondary structure includes four short double-helical elements and three loops (D, anti-codon, and T loops). Further hydrogen bonds mediate the characteristic L-shaped molecular structure. tRNAs have two regions of fundamental functional importance: the anti-codon, which is responsible for specific mRNA codon recognition, and the 3' end, to which the tRNAs corresponding amino acid is attached (by aminoacyl-tRNA synthetases). tRNAs cope with the degeneracy of the genetic code in two manners: having more than one tRNA (with a specific anti-codon) for a particular amino acid; and 'wobble' base-pairing, i.e. permitting non-standard base-pairing at the 3rd anti-codon position. The record is from RNAcentral. Lineage: Eukaryota; Metazoa; Chordata; Actinopteri; Cypriniformes; Nemacheilidae.
GGUAGGAUGGCCGAAGUAGGCGGCGGGUUGUAGCCCCGUAGAUAGAGGUUUAAGUCCUCUUCCUGUCA